AACGAACGUUAGCGGCGCGCUUAACACAUGCAAGUCGAGCGAGAAAGGGGCAACCCCGGUAAAGCGGCGCACGGGUGAGUAACACGUAGGUAAUCUACCCUCGGGUGGAGGAUAACUUUCCGAAAGGAAGGCUAAUACUGCAUGAGACCACGACCUCGAAAGGGGAUGGGGUCAAAGCCGGCCUCUGUACACAAGCUGGCGCCUGAGGAUGAGCCUGCGGCCCAUCAGCUAGUUGGUAGGGUAAUGGCCUACCAAGGCGAAGACGGGUAGCUGGUCUGAGAGGAUGAUCAGUCACACGUGGAACUGGGACACGGUCCAGACUCCGUACGGGAGGCAGCAGUGGGGAAUCUUGCGCAAGUGGGACGAAAGCCUGACGCAGCGACGCCGCGUGAGUGAUGAAGGCCUUGGUUAGUAAGCUCUGUGGAGAGGGACGAA
RNAcentral lists this ribosomal RNA (435 nucleotides) under uncultured bacterium. RNAcentral's name for it is "bacterial SSU rRNA". It matches the Rfam family "Bacterial small subunit ribosomal RNA", at positions 29 to 449 of the family's 1533-position model. The record is from RNAcentral.